Molecule: ribosomal RNA, 620 nt
Filed under: uncultured bacterium
Lineage: Bacteria
Description: bacterial SSU rRNA
Rfam family: Bacterial small subunit ribosomal RNA
Source: RNAcentral
GGGUGAGUAACGCGUGGGCAACCUGCCUCAUACUGGGGGAUAGCAGUUGGAAACGACUGAUAAUACCGCAUAAGCGCACAGCAUCGCAUGAUGCAGUGUGAAAAACUCCGGUGGUAUGAGAUGGGCCCGCGUCAGAUUAGCUAGUUGGUAAGGUAACGGCUUACCAAGGCGACGAUCUGUAGCCGGACUGAGAGGUCGGACGGCCACAUUGGGACUGAGACACGGCCCAAACUCCUACGGGAGGCAGCAGUGGGGGAUAUUGCACAAUGGAGGAAACUCUGAUGCAGCGACGCCGCGUGAGUGAAGAAGUAUUUCGGUAUGUAAAGCUCUAUCAGCAGGGAAGAAAGGCUCGUAAGAGAGAUGACGGUACCUGACUAAGAAGCCCCGGCUAACUACGUGCCAGCAGCCGCGGUAAUACGUAGGGGGCAAGCGUUAUCCGGAUUUACUGGGCGUAAAGGGCGUGUAGGCGGAGAUCUAAGCAGGGUGUGAAAACUAUGGGCUCAACCCGUAGCCUGCAUUCUGAACUGGAUCCCUUGAGGGCAGGAGAGGAAAGUGGAAUUCCUAGUGUAGCGGUGAAAUGCGUAGAUAUUAGGAGGAACACCAGUGGCGAAGGCGACUUU